AUGGCCUGGCCCCGGCGGCACGGCUGGCAGCUUCCCCUCCACCCGCUCCAGCUCGUGGGCGCGGGGGUGUUUGCCGUCCUCGUCACGGCGUUCUACGUCGUCCUCGGGCCCUACCUCGGCAGCACCGUCGCCGGCAACACCCUCCUCGCGCUCUUCUCCCUCUCGGCCGCCGCCACCGCGGCUCUCUACGUGCGCUGCACCGCAGUCGACCCCUCCGACCGGACCCACGCCAAGAAGGUGAAGAGGCAGCGCAAUCUCGCCAGGGGCGGCGGGGGGAGGCUGCCGAGGCUGCGCUACGGGUACAUCCUGUGGCGGUACGCGGCGCGGCUGCUCAAGAGGAUCGAGGUCCGCGUCAUGAACCGCUGGGUGCGGAGGAGCUACCUCGAGCAGUGGAACUCCAGCGUCCAGCUCGACCCCAUGCUCCCCUUUGCCUUCACCAGCCUCGAGGACAUCGUCUCGCCGCACGCCACCGACGACCAGGACAUCUCAUACUGCCCAAUCUGCGACUGCGAGGUGAAAUUGCGCAGCAAGCACUGCAAAACUUGUGACCGGUGUGUUGAUGGAUUUGAUCACCACUGCAGGUGGCUCAACAAUUGCAUAGGGAGAAGGAACUAUGCAGCAUUUAUCAUGCUAAUGCUCUUUGUUUUGCUGAUGCUUGUUAUUGAGGGGGGAACAGCGGCUGCGGUUUUUAUUCGCUGCUUCAUCGAUAGCAAAGGGUUGAAAACAGAAAUGGAGCACAGGCUUCACGUAAGGCUACCUAAAGGAGCUCACGCAGCAUUAUCUAUGGUAUUUGUCAUCUUCACUUUGUACAGUACUGCAGCAUUGGGUCAGCUCUUCUUUUUCCAUGUUCUGCUCAUUAGAAAGGGAAUGAGGACAUAUGAUUACAUCCUUGCUAUGCGAGAAGCUGCACAAGCAUAUGAUCCUUUUGAUGACUCUGAUUUUUCCUCGGACGAGAGCAUUGACUUCGACUCUCCAGAAAGGCCAUCGUUCUUGUCAAGGAUCUUAUGCAGAAAAGAUGAAGUGAAUGAGAGUACCCGAAAGCUGUCGAUUAGGAUCGAUGAGAAGGAGGCCAAUGAUGCAACAAGAAGGAAGGAUGACGUCUCGAUCAACCCAUGGACGUUGAUCACUAUGAACAAGGACAAAGCAAUGGCAGCCGCUGAGCGCGCUCGUGAGCGAAUCAGGCAGAAGUUGCCAUCCACGGCCAUCUCCCCGAUGAAACCAUUGCCAUUGGAGACAAAGAGAGGUCCUUUGAACCAGGAGAGAAGAUCCAUCAUGACAGGGAAGGAGAACCAGGAGAGAAGAACCAGCAUGACAGGGAAGGAGAUCGUGCCUGUCCUCACAAAGAGCUGGCUGUCAGGAUCACCAACUGCAAGGUUGUCGAGCCCAAGAAGACGGUUCUCAGGGUCAUCGUCACCCAAACCUCAGAGGUGCAGGGCCAACUUCGACUCGAGACUAACAGAGGUGUCAAGAGAGCUUGAUGCCCACGUCUCGAAGCAGGUCAUGUGCCCUGUUGUCAUGACGGGCGCCGAAGAUGAAGGUUCUUCAUCAUAA
RNAcentral lists this ribosomal RNA (1551 nucleotides) under Triticum aestivum (bread wheat). RNAcentral's name for it is "partial small subunit ribosomal RNA". Lineage: Eukaryota; Viridiplantae; Streptophyta; Magnoliopsida; Poales; Poaceae. The record is from RNAcentral.